AACGCACAUUGCGCCCUCUGGUAUUCCGGGGGGCAUGCCUGUUCGAGCGUCAUUACAACCCUCAAGCUCUGCUUGGUGUUGGGUGCUACCGGAAACGGUACGCCCUAAAAUCAGUGGCGGUACCAUUCGGUCUCAAGCGUAGUAAUUCUUCUCGCUCUGGGACCGGUUGCAUACUUGCCAUCAACCCAAAUUCUACCAAAGGUUGACCUCGGAUCAGGUAGGGAUACCCGCUGAACUUAA
Molecule: unclassified non-coding RNA, 240 nt
Filed under: uncultured fungus
Lineage: Eukaryota; Fungi
Description: partial contains 5.8S ribosomal RNA, internal transcribed spacer 2, and large subunit ribosomal RNA
Rfam family: 5.8S ribosomal RNA (bases 1-52)
Source: RNAcentral